RNAcentral lists this ribosomal RNA (424 nucleotides) under uncultured bacterium. RNAcentral describes it as "partial 16S ribosomal RNA". It matches the Rfam family "Bacterial small subunit ribosomal RNA", at positions 360 to 776 of the family's 1533-position model. The record is from RNAcentral.
AAUAUUGGACAAUGGGGGAAACCCUGAUCCAGCCAUCCCGCGUGUAUGAUGAAGGCCUUCGGGUUGUAAAGUACUUUUGGCAGAGAAGAAGAGUUAUCGCCUAAUACAGGACACUGCUGACGGUAUUUGCAGAAUAAGCACCGGCUACCUACUUGCCACCAGCCGCGGUAAUACGUAGGGGGCAAGCGUUAAUCGGAAGUACUGGGCGUAAAGCGUGUGUAGGCGGUUCGGAAAGAAAGAUGUAAAAUCCCAGGGCUCAAACUUGGAACUGCAUUUUUAACUGCCGAGCUAGGGUAUGUCAGGAGGGGGUAGAAUUCCACGUGUAGCAGUGAAAUGCGUAAGUAUGUGGAGGAAUACCGAUGGCGAAGGCAGCCCCCUGGGAUAAUACUGACGCUCAGACACGAAAGCGUGGGGAGCAAACAGG